AUGAACAGCUUGGAUGUGCCAGAUGAUGAACUUUCUGACUCUGAGCAAGUGCUUAUUAACAACAUUUCUGCAGUGUCCUUGUUUCGUGAUGUGUUGUUUACAAGGUUAUUCAAAACAACUCGUAACACCUCUAUAUUAACUGGUGCUCAGAAAACAUUAGAGUUCUUAGAGGGACAUCCAGUUAGAUUUUAUGAACUAAUUCGUCUUGAGAAGCACACAUUCUUCUUGUUGCGGGAUGCUUUGUGCGAGAGAAAGUUACUUAAGGAUACAAAUCGAAUGACAGUGGGCGAACAACUACUCAUGUUUUUACAUACAAUUGGUCACAAUGUUAGAAACCGUGUCAUGCAAGAUAGAUAUCAGCAUUCUGGCGAACCAAUCAGCCGACACUUCAACAACGUUUUAGACGCCAUAAAUGGUUUGCGUGAUGUUUGCAUAACAGAUCCAAGCAAUCAAGUCCCAUCCAAAAUAUUGGGUGACGCAAGGUUCUACCCAUAUUUCAAGAACUGUCUAGGAGCAAUUGACGGGAUACACAUUGAGGCGAAAAUCAGGCUUGAUAAGAAAACUCCUUACAGAAAUAGGCAUGGUUAUCCGUCUCAAAAUGUAAUGGCAGCAGUGUCAUUUGACAUGACAUUCUCUUAUGUCGCUGCUGGAUGGGAGGGUUCUGCAUCGGAUCAAGCUGUUCUAAGAUGGGCUGUUACUAGUGGGGGUUUGGUUGUUCCUGAAGGCAAAUUUUAUCUUGUUGAUUCAGGCUAUGCAAAUACUCCAAAAUUUAUUGCCCCAUAUCGCGGAGAUCGCUAUCAUAUUGCUUCUUUUCGUGGAUGUAAUCGGAGAUAUACUGGUGAGAAGGAUUUGUUCAACCAUGUGCAUGCACAGCUGCGGAACGUUGUGGAACGAACCUUUGGUGUUCUGAAAGCUCGUUUUCCAAUUCUAAGUAGGAUAGGAGGAAUUCCUUAUCCAUAUAGAACCCAAGUUAAAAUUGUUAUGGCUUGUUGCAUCAUCCACAACUUCAUAAGGAAGGUUAAUGAGCCUGAUGAGUUGUUUGAGCUUUAUGAGCAUGGGGAAACACAAGAAAAUGUUGACCAUGGUGAUCAACAAGUUCGUGGGCAAGCAAGAGAAGAUGACCGAGUUGCUGGUGAGAGAGUUCGUGCUGGCAUCGCUCAACAAUUGUGGACUAAUCAUCAACGACGUGUGAACCGACAACAACAAGAUGAUUAA
RNAcentral lists this ribosomal RNA (1215 nucleotides) under Triticum aestivum (bread wheat). RNAcentral's name for it is "partial small subunit ribosomal RNA". Lineage: Eukaryota; Viridiplantae; Streptophyta; Magnoliopsida; Poales; Poaceae. The record is from RNAcentral.